UCCCCGCUUUUCCUCCCUGAGCGGGCGCCUUAAUGUGUGACAGCAAAAAGGCUUCCCACCCCGGCUUUCAGGCCGGGGUUUUUUUU
RNAcentral lists this non-coding RNA (86 nucleotides) under Ramlibacter tataouinensis TTB310. RNAcentral describes it as "Burkholderia RNA 7 (anti-hemB)". It matches the Rfam family "Burkholderia RNA 7 (anti-hemB)". From Rfam's summary of the family: This RNA motif was identified by computational search in b-proteobacteria Burkholderia. Lineage: Bacteria; Pseudomonadati; Pseudomonadota; Betaproteobacteria; Burkholderiales; Comamonadaceae. The record is from Rfam by way of RNAcentral.